This 87-nucleotide transfer RNA is filed under the name Zymobacter palmae. RNAcentral describes it as "tRNA-Leu". It matches the Rfam family "tRNA". Rfam says of the family: Transfer RNA (tRNA) molecules are approximately 80 nucleotides in length. The record is from RNAcentral. Lineage: Bacteria; Pseudomonadati; Pseudomonadota; Gammaproteobacteria; Oceanospirillales; Halomonadaceae.
GCCCGGAUGGCGGAAUUGGUAGACGCGCUAGCUUCAGGUGCUAGUGUCCUUACGGACGUGAAGGUUCAAGUCCUUUUCCGGGCACCA